This 57-nucleotide transfer RNA is filed under the name Capra hircus (goat). It matches the Rfam family "tRNA", at positions 8 to 63 of the family's 71-position model. Rfam says of the family: Transfer RNA (tRNA) molecules are approximately 80 nucleotides in length. Their secondary structure includes four short double-helical elements and three loops (D, anti-codon, and T loops). Further hydrogen bonds mediate the characteristic L-shaped molecular structure. tRNAs have two regions of fundamental functional importance: the anti-codon, which is responsible for specific mRNA codon recognition, and the 3' end, to which the tRNAs corresponding amino acid is attached (by aminoacyl-tRNA synthetases). tRNAs cope with the degeneracy of the genetic code in two manners: having more than one tRNA (with a specific anti-codon) for a particular amino acid; and 'wobble' base-pairing, i.e. permitting non-standard base-pairing at the 3rd anti-codon position. The record is from Rfam by way of RNAcentral. RNAcentral also lists the same sequence under 1 other name. Lineage: Eukaryota; Metazoa; Chordata; Mammalia; Artiodactyla; Bovidae.
UGGCUCAGAUGGUAAAGUGUCUGCCUGCAAUGCAGGAGACCCAGGUUCAAUCCCUGG